CGAUUUGGGCGAUUCAAAAGGCAAAGUUGUGAGAUUUUUCGACGACAACGCGUUGGUGAGCUCGGAUAGUGGUUUGGGGUUCCCGUUUGAGGUAAUUUCGCGAAAAACCUGACUGCUGUACCUUUUUCGAGUCCUUGUUUUUGGAAUUUUUGUUUUGGUCAUAUCUCACUCAUUUUGGAUAGUGGUUUGGGGUUCCCAUUUGAGGUAAUUUCACAAUUAAACCUGACUGCAGUGCCUUUUUCGAGCAUUUGUUUUUGGUAUUAUUGUUUUGAUCAUAUCUCACUCAUUUUAGCUCGAUUUUGGGUGAUUCGAAGUCCCACAUGUUGAGGAUUGUCAUGACUUCGUUGUAGAGUGUUCAAGGAGUGCUGGGCACCUUUCGAUUCUCAUUUAUUCUGAGUUUUGACUGCUGCUGUAGGGUUUCUUUUAGUUAUUAAAGUGUGGUUUCUUGCUUGUUGGUUUUUGCUAUGUUUUGAGCCUCGGAUUGUGUUCCAUUUUGGAACACAAGUUUGGAGUGCUAUUUGGGGUCACUUGACGGAGUGAAAUUCGGACAGUUCGGUGUGGGUCCCACGAUUCCCGUUUUGACUCCAAAAUUGACCCAUCUCCGUUUGUUGUGAUUUUGGUGUCUAAAUGACCGUAGUAACGUUGUAAAUCUAUUUUUGAUAGCGGGGCAGCGUUUCGAGACUGUUCGAAAAGGGAAAGCUCCGGUAAAGUGAUUGGAGAGCGCAGAGUUGGCCUUAAGGUAGGCUACGGCUUCCUUUCUUUUAGAUUGAGCUUAAUUGUGUAAAAACAUGUCGAUUGGAGUGAAUUGGGGGUGGGUACCAGUUUACUACCUUAGUUUGAUUAGAUACCUUGUGUUAGAAUCGAUUGGCCACAGUUCGGGUAUAGUAUCAUGUUAACCGGUUUAGUAGAGUUGCAUACUUAUGUGCUAAAUGCUAUUGUAUGCUUGUAUGUUAUGUAUUGCAUGCCUUGUUCAUCCUUAAACGUAAGCAUGAUGUCCUUAGUCUAGGUUAACCUAGCAUUGCCUUAGACUUAUGACAUGUGUGGGCUGGAUAGCCUUGACUUGCUGCCGAUGUCGUUCGGAUGACUUAGCUCCUUGUAGACUGGAAUAGCAGACUUGAGUCUGAUAGUUUGAGCCUUAGAUUAGGCGUUAUCGCUACUUGCUGCACUUAUGUAUCUUCUCCCUCUUAUUCUGCGGUUCCGACGCAUUCUCGAAGGUUUGGUGCAUCCCUCGAGGCGUGGGAUUGAGAUAGUAUAGGAUUGGAUCCUUUUAUGUGAUAUCUUAGAGUGGACGGCGUUCCACGGUGGUUGUUGUUGGAUUGAAUCCUAUUGGAGAUACCAUCACCCCCGGGGUCGUUCUUUCUAGCCUAGGCUGGGAACGUAUCGUUGGCUGGGUAGACUCGGUGAUAUCGGCGAUCGCCCCCGGGCCUCUCUUUCUAGCUGGGCUGGGAGUGUACUGCUGGCUGGGUGGAGUCUGAUGGAUUAUCUUAGUUACUUUGGGUUGGGAACCCGGUUUUCUUCUUUCUCAGUAGACUUAGCCUUGCUGUGUACCUGUCGGGCUUAUGGGGGUCUGGGUCUUCUUUCUAGCUGGGCUGGGAGUGGACUGUUUGGUUGGGUGCCCCCUAGGGUCACUCUUUCUAGCUGGGCUGGGAGUGUACUGCUGGCUGGGUGUAGUCUGAUGGAUUAUCUUAGUUACUUUGGGUUGGGAGCCCGGUUUUCUUCUUUCUCAGUAGACUUAACCUUGCUGUGUACCUGUCGGGCUUAUGGGGGUCCGUUCAGGUUUUAUUUAAACUUGCGAACGAGUGUACCUUCUGGGCUUAUGGGGGUCCAGUUAGGUUUAGUUUAGUUGUACUUAGUUUGUUUCUGGUAUGCUCGUGUGCUUUCUUUUUUUACCGCUUUGACCUCUCUGUGUCUAGAUUCUAUCCUUUCUUAUUGUUUUUACCCUUUUUGCUCAGUCGGCCUAUGACGCCUACUGAGUACCUGUUGUGUUGGUACUCAUGCUACGCUCUGCAUCUAUUUCGUGAUGCAGGUCCCAGUACCAGUUAUCAGCGGUGAUUAGUUCCAGCCUUCUUUUGCAGCUGUGAUUCUGAGACGAGGGCGAGCACUUGGUGUUUUGGGGUUUGUUCUGUCUCCUUCUUUUGUUUUAGCUAGUCUUGUUGCCUUUGAGACACGCUCUGUUGUGGUCCACUUUUGGGACUUGUACUCUUUAUUAGAUAGCUCUGUACUAGUGACUUCCAGGUUCUGGGAGGGAUUUCUGUAUAUAUUUAUUUUGGGUUGCUUCCGCCUUGUUAUCCUUGUUUUAGAUUAUUGUUUUCGCUAGUUUCUGCCCUUUUGCUCAUUGCUUGAUGUUCUG
Molecule: long non-coding RNA, 2350 nt
Filed under: Solanum tuberosum (potato)
Lineage: Eukaryota; Viridiplantae; Streptophyta; Magnoliopsida; Solanales; Solanaceae
Description: long non-coding RNA (STUB_LNC008828)
Source: RNAcentral